RNAcentral lists this ribosomal RNA (491 nucleotides) under uncultured bacterium. RNAcentral's name for it is "bacterial SSU rRNA". It matches the Rfam family "Bacterial small subunit ribosomal RNA", at positions 28 to 507 of the family's 1533-position model. The record is from RNAcentral.
GAUGAACGCUAGCUACAGGCUUAACACAUGCAAGUCGAGGGGAAACGAUAUUGGAAGCUUGCUUCCGAUAGGCGUCGACCGGCGCACGGGUGAGUAACGCGUAUCCAACCUGCCCAUCACUUGGGGAUAACCUUGCGAAAGUAAGACUAAUACCCAAUGACGUCUCUAGAAGACAUCUGAAAGAGAUUAAAGAUUUAUCGGUGAUGGAUGGGGAUGCGUCUGAUUAGCUUGUUGGCGGGGUAACGGCCCACCAAGGCGACGAUCAGUAGGGGUUCUGAGAGGAAGGUCCCCCACAUUGGAACUGGGACACGGUCCAAACUCCUACGGGAGGCAGCAGUGAGGAAUAUUGGUCAAUGGACGAGAGUCUGAACCAGCCAAGUAGCGUGCAGGAUGACGGCCCUAUGGGUUGUAAACUGCUUUAUAAGGGAAUAAAGUGAGUCUCGUGAGACUUUUUGCAUGUACCUUAUGAAUAAGGACCGGCUAAUUCCGUG